AAUGAUAAAUUACAACAAAUUUCUUAACCUAAUAGUAGAGGAAAAAAGGGCCAGGGGAAACCUUACUCUUUUCAAAAUUUAAGGUCGAUAUACAAAAAAAAAAAAAAAAAAAUACAGUAUGGCCAUGAUUUUUUAUGCUAAGAAAGAAAGGUCAAUAAAAUCUUUAUGCAGAAUAACACGAUACGAUUCAGCCUGUCAUAUUCCACUGCUGGGUACAGGCCUCUUUGAUCAUGUAGGAGAAGGACUGAAGCUUAACCCACCACGCUGCGGUUGGUUGAUACAGUCCCUCCUGUGAGUCACGAUCGAUAUCAGGUAUUUACUACAGUAGGCCGUGUUCGUGCAUUUACUUACCGGAUGAAAAAAAGAAGACAAUAAUGCAAAACUGUACAACAAUUCAAUUCGUGACGAAUCGAGUAACCUUCUGCUUUUUUGAAGUCGGUUAGAAAUCAAUUAUAUCCCGACUUAUUUUUAUCUAAAACACAAUGAACUCAAAUUGUAAUCUUUUAUUCAGUUAAACUUGUCCAUGAAACAUAAUAUAAAAAUAUCUUAUCUUGAAAUAAGAUAUCUUUGUGUAAGAGGAAAAAAAUAAUAAUUUAAAAACGUAUAUUUUGUUACCUAAAUUAUUAUGUGCCGAAUAUGUGACAUGUGUGUAGUAUGUGUUAAGAGAAACAUACUUUUAAAGAA
Molecule: unclassified non-coding RNA, 684 nt
Filed under: Melitaea cinxia (Glanville fritillary)
Lineage: Eukaryota; Metazoa; Arthropoda; Insecta; Lepidoptera; Nymphalidae
Description: misc RNA ENSMCXG00005007576.1
Source: RNAcentral